ACAACUCACCUGCCGAAU
Molecule: small nuclear RNA, 18 nt
Filed under: Arabidopsis thaliana (thale cress)
Lineage: Eukaryota; Viridiplantae; Streptophyta; Magnoliopsida; Brassicales; Brassicaceae
Description: snRNA_07147
Source: RNAcentral